AGAGUUUGAUCCUGGCUCAGGACGAACGCUGGCGGCGUGCCUAAUACAUGCAAGUCGAACGAACUCUGGUAUUGAUUGGUGCUUGCAUCAUGAUUUACAUUUGAGUGAGUGGCGAACUGGUGAGUAACACGUGGGAAACCUACCCAGAAGCGGGGGAUAACACCUGGAAACAGAUGCUAAUACCGCAUAACAACUUGGACCGCAUGGUCCGAGCUUGAAAGAUGGCUUCGGCUAUCACUUUUGGAUGGUCCCGCGGCGUAUUAGCUAGAUGGUGGGGUAACGGCUCACCAUGGCAAUGAUACGUAGCCGACCUGAGAGGGUAAUCGGCCACAUUGGGACUGAGACACGGCCCAAACUCCUACGGGAGGCAGCAGUAGGGAAUCUUCCACAAUGGACGAAAGUCUGAUGGAGCAACGCCGCGUGAGUGAAGAAGGGUUUCGGCUCGUAAAACUCUGUUGUUAAAGAAGAACAUAUCUGAGAGUAACUGUUCAGGUAUUGACGGUAUUUAACCAGAAAGCCACGGCUAACUACGUGCCAGCAGCCGCGGUAAUACGUAGGUGGCAAGCGUUGUCCGGAUUUAUCGCGCGUAAAGCGAGCGCAGGCGGUUUUUUAAGUCUGAUGUGAAAGCCUUCGGCUCAACCGAAGAAGUGCAUCGGAAACUGGGAAACUUGAGUGCAGAAGAGGACAGUGGAACUCCAUGUGUAGCGGUGAAAUGCGUAGAUAUAUGGAAGAACACCAGUGGCGAAGGCGGCUGUCUGGUCUGUAACUGACGCUGAGGCUCGAAAGUAUGGGUAGCAAACAGGAUUAGAUACCCUGGUAGUCCAUACCGUAAACGAUGAAUGCUAAGUGUUGGAGGGUUUCCGCCCUUCAGUGCUGCAGCUAACGCAUUAAGCAUUCCGCCUGGGGAGUACGGCCGCAAGGCUGAAACUCAAAGGAAUUGACGGGGGCCCGCACAAGCGGUGGAGCAUGUGGUUUAAUUCGAAGCUACGCGAAGAACCUUACCAGGUCUUGACAUACUAUGCAAAUCUAAGAGAUUAGACGUUCCCUUCGGGGACAUGGAUACAGGUGGUGCAUGGUUGUCGUCAGCUCGUGUCGUGAGAUGUUGGGUUAAGUCCCGCAACGAGCGCAACCCUUAUUAUCAGUUGCCAGCAUUAAGUUGGGCACUCUGGUGAGACUGCCGGUGACAAACCGGAGGAAGGUGGGGAUGACGUCAAAUCAUCAUGCCCCUUAUGACCUGGGCUACACACGUGCUACAAUGGAUGGUACAACGAGUUGCGAACUCGCGAGAGUAAGCUAAUCUCUUAAAGCCAUUCUCAGUUCGGAUUGUAGGCUGCAACUCGCCUACAUGAAGUCGGAAUCGCUAGUAAUCGCGGAUCAGCAUGCCGCGGUGAAUACGUUCCCGGGCCUUGUACACACCGCCCGUCACACCAUGAGAGUUUGUAACACCCAAAGUCGGUGGGGUAACCUUUUAGGAACCAGCCGCCUAAGGUGGGACAGAUGAUUAGGGUGAAGUCGUAACAAGGUAACC
This 1528-nucleotide ribosomal RNA is filed under the name Lactiplantibacillus plantarum. RNAcentral's name for it is "Lactobacillus plantarum 16S ribosomal RNA". It matches the Rfam family "Bacterial small subunit ribosomal RNA". The record is from RNAcentral. Lineage: Bacteria; Bacillati; Bacillota; Bacilli; Lactobacillales; Lactobacillaceae.